RNAcentral lists this long non-coding RNA (1131 nucleotides) under Paramuricea clavata. Lineage: Eukaryota; Metazoa; Cnidaria; Anthozoa; Malacalcyonacea; Plexauridae. The record is from RNAcentral.
AUCACCAAUUACGUGCAACGACCGUUCAUCCAUAUGUCUUGGGAAAAAGAAGGGAGCAAGAGUCGCCAUGUUGAUUUCCAGUGUGUCAAAACCAAAGUGGGUACUCAUGUGAUCGGAGCAGUAGACGAACCGGCUGCCCUUGCUGCCGUCUCUGGCAGUGAUAGUGUACCGCCACCUCCACAAGUUCUGCUGGGAUCUGAACCUGAAGACUGAACGGCCCCCGAGGUACCGCUGGGCUUCGCAGAAUAACUGGAUGAAUGUAGGUAUAUAGAUCACCUAAGUCGACUCGCAUUUUUUAGAUGCGCGAUUAAGCUCAUUUUCUCACAGCUUGUCAACGAGAUGUGUUCGUUUGUUCCCAGCUGUUCACAAGUUUGGAACAAGUUGGUAUCAACUUGUAACAAGGUUGAUGAGGCCAACAGACUCGCAAUUACAUAAGUAAAAAUACACAAGUUGUUACAGGUCUGCGCGAACAAGUCGUUACAAAUCUGCUCACAAGCUGUCGACAAGUUGUGUUCGCACUGCUUGUUCCCAGUUGUUGUAACAAGUUUGGAACAAGGUGUUAACAACUUGUAACAAGCUUGAUGGCAUUAUCAGAUUUGGUACAAGGUUGUUCUAACAAGUCUGAUACAGUCAUGAUAUAACAAGAAUGUUACAAGGUUGUUCUAACAAGUCUGAUACAGUCAUGAUAUAACAAGAAUGUUACAAGGUUGUUCUAACAAGUCUGAUACAGUCAUGAUAUAACAAGAACGUUACAAGGUUGUUCUAACAAGUCUGAUACAGUCAUGAUAUAACAAGAAUGUUACAAGGUUGUUCUAACAAGUCUGAUACAGUCAUGAUAUAACAAGAAUGUUACAAGGUUGCUCUAACAAGUCUGAUACAGUCAUGAUAUAACAAGAAUGUUACAAGGUUGUUCUAACAAGUCUGAUACAGUCAUGAUAUAACAAGAAUGUUACAAGGUUGUUCUAACAAGUCUGAUACAGUCAUGAUAUAACAAGAAUGUUACAAGGUUGUUCUAACAAGUCUCAUACAGUCAUGAUAUAACAAGAAUGUUACAAGAUUGUUCUAACAAGUCUGAUACAGUCUGAUAUAACAAGAAUGUUACAAGGUUGUUCUAACAAGUCUGAUACAGUC